Molecule: ribosomal RNA, 375 nt
Filed under: uncultured Helicobacter sp.
Lineage: Bacteria; Pseudomonadati; Campylobacterota; Epsilonproteobacteria; Campylobacterales; Helicobacteraceae
Description: bacterial SSU rRNA
Rfam family: Bacterial small subunit ribosomal RNA
Source: RNAcentral
UAUGACGGGUAUCCGGCCUGAGAGGGUGACCGGACACACUGGAACUGAGACACGGUCCAGACUCCUACGGGAGGCAGCAGUAGGGAAUAUUGCUCAAUGGGGGAAACCCUGAAGCAGUAACGCCGCGUGGAGGAUGAAGGUUUUAGGAUUGUAAACUCCUUUUGUGAGAGAAGAUUAUGACGGUAUCUCACGAAUAAGCACCGGCUAACUCCGUGCCAGCAGCCGCGGUAAUACGGAGGGUGCAAGCGUUACUCGGAAUCACUGGGCGUAAAGAGUGCGUAGGCGGGAAGGUAAGUCAGAUGUGAAGUCCUAUGGCUUAACCAUAGAACUGCAUUUGAAACUACUUUUCUAGAGUGUGGGAGAGGUAGGUGGAAU